UACGUAGGGUGCAAGCGUUAAUCGGAAUUACUGGGCGUAAAGCGCGCGUAGGUGGUUUGUUAAGUUGGAUGUGAAAUCCCCGGGCUCAACCUGGGAACUGCAUUCAAAACUGACUGACUAGAGUAUGGUAGAGGGUGGUGGAAUUUCCUGUGUAGCGGUGAAAUGCGUAGAUAUAGGAAGGAACACCAGUGGCGAAGGCGACCACCUGGACUAAUACUGACACUGAGGUGCGAAAGCGUGGGGAGCAAACAGG
RNAcentral lists this ribosomal RNA (253 nucleotides) under uncultured bacterium. Its description in RNAcentral is "partial 16S ribosomal RNA". It matches the Rfam family "Bacterial small subunit ribosomal RNA", at positions 524 to 776 of the family's 1533-position model. The record is from RNAcentral.